GAUGAACGCUGGCGGCAUGCCUAACACAUGCAAGUCGGACGGGAAGUGGUGUUUCCAGUGCCGUUCGGGUGAGUAACGCGUAAGAACCUGCCCUUGGGAGGGGAACAACAGCUGGAAACGGCUGCAAAUACCCCGUAGGCUGAGGAGCAAAAGGAAGAAUCCGCCUGAGGAGGGGCUGGCGUCUGAUUAGCUAGGUGGUGAGGCAAUAGCUUACCAAGGCGAUGAUCUGUAGCGGGUGCGAGAGGAUGAUCAGCCAGACUGGGACUGAGGCACGGCCAAGGCACCUUCGGGAGGCAGCAGUAGGGAAUUUGCAGCAAUGGGCGAAAGCGUAACAGGGCAAUGGCGCGUGGAAGUAGAAGGGCUGAGAGUCGUGAGCUUCAUUUCCCGGAGAAGAAGCAAUGACGGUAUCUGGGGAAUAAGCAUCGGCUAACUCUGUG
RNAcentral lists this ribosomal RNA (437 nucleotides) under uncultured bacterium. RNAcentral's name for it is "partial 16S ribosomal RNA". It matches the Rfam family "Bacterial small subunit ribosomal RNA", at positions 28 to 507 of the family's 1533-position model. The record is from RNAcentral.